Molecule: long non-coding RNA, 2861 nt
Organism: Cephus cinctus (wheat stem sawfly)
Lineage: Eukaryota; Metazoa; Arthropoda; Insecta; Hymenoptera; Cephidae
Exons: 3
Source: RefSeq, a predicted model, not a curated record
UACCCACAACGUAAUUGGUACACAAGGAUAUUAUUACUUGUCCCAAAGAGAAGGGAAAUGACGACACGGAGAAAAAACGAAAGAUAUAUAAAUUCGCCUAACGGCGCACGUACGCGCGUGCAAUCAUUGCAUUUCUCCUAUCAGUGUACCGAGCUUGAGUUUGGCCUAUCAGCCGCGUAUACGUGAAUAUAUAUAUAUACACCUACUGCAUAAGUGAAGCAUUGUACGAGCUGGUAGCGCACGUGUAGAAAAAAUCGCAGUUUUACCGAGGCCGUGAACAAGAGCGAUAGUAGGGCCAGUUUCUAGUAACGCGGUGUCAUGAAGUUUUGUAACGCGAUUCCACGCUGUCUCGUAAUCACUCUAUUGUAAUCCAAGCGAUAAUUUUCCCUUUGGCGACCAAAGGAUUUAUUGUUGUUCCACUUUAACGUACAUUUUUUUCACUGUCUCUUCCAUGAUUUUCUUAUUAAAAGGCCGUUACGUCAUCUUAGCGUGUGUAUCCGCUUCCGGAUAUCAUACACUACAUAUAAAAAAUAAUCGAGUUAAUUGAAUUUAAAAGAGAUUGGCAACGUGUCAUUGCAAUGAAUAUUCAGUGACGAAGUGAAUCGACCAUUUUCAUGACACAUUAAGCAACGAUCGCAUCGUGCUUUGAGAACACACCGCGACGUCGAAACGUCGCUGAUUUAUUAUCUAUCGUCAAUGUGUUUACGUAUGAAUCAAAGACGGUGGAUAGUCGUGCCUGGUAACGAAAUAUGUGUGCUUCGACCAAUUUGACUUUCAUCUUUUCUCGAAGCCAUUAAGGGAUCCUGUGCUUAGAUCGAGGAAUGGGACUCGAUAUUUCGACUGCCUUCAAUCGUAUUAACGGGUGCCAUUUAGACAGAAACCAGCUAAGGUGUCCAUCCCUCAUAGGUCACGAAUAGUGUCAGGAACACAGUAGUUCCCAACACGGAUGAAGUUAAAUAAAAAUAUUAAAACUGUGAUUCGUCGUAUUACUUGGGAAUCCAACAUGGAAUAAAAGGAGAAAGAAGACGUAUAGAUGAUUAUGAAUUUACAUAGUCAAUAUACGUAUAGCGGAUGAGUAAUAUGGCGAAAGGACCAAUGACGAUGACUGUUGGCUGUCAUUGUAAACGAGGAGAGUCGUUAUGUGAUACAGAUACGUGUGGGUCUCUGUGGCACGUUCCAUCGUGAGUCAUACACUUCUUUUACCAUCGCAUCCGCUAUGCGAUUGUAAGAAUAGAAUGAAAUUGAUUCAUUUACCAGACGCCCGAUGACUUCGUACAAAACACACACAAAACAAGCGACGCGGUUCUCGGCGUUCGCGUCUGCGUACACGCGACUUAUGUAGACUCAGGGCGAUUACUUUUCUCGUGUAUCUGAGAGACCAAGGAGAUUUUGAUCUGACUUUGUUAUAUGGUAAAUUGAUAAAAGUCUGUUAUAGUGAACAGUGAUAUAUUUAUAGAUGCAAGGAUUGAUUUUGCAUGAGUUUUGACGAAUUUUCGAAUUUUUUUUACUUAACAUUUUCAAAUGACUCGACAACAACGAUAUCUAACGAUUCUAUAUGAAUAUUUACUCGUUACGUCAGAAAUCAUACGAUAAAAGAAUUUGCCUACGCGUGAAUCAGCAAACUGUUUUGGCGCGAGGUUUUCGAUCUUGUCAUUUGGCCCGCGGCGGUCCGACCGGAAAUACGAGUCGAAUUUGUGCGUGAUACGCGCUGACGCAUGUCGUACGAUCCAUCUGUUGCAUUUCGUGACAAGAAAGACAGCUAAGAGGAUGACACGUUCGUAGAAUGGAUAUUAAAUGUACGAUUAAUAAAAAUAAUCUCCUCAGUCUGAGGUUUAAUGAUUAUAUCGCGAAAUGUAAACAGGAUAUAUGGAUGUAUUGUGUAUGCAUAUAUAUUUACCAGUAUAUUAGCUUUACAACGUGGCAAAUACGAGUGCACAGGAGAAUCAUGUUAUCGAAGCACGUGUCAGUUGUGCGCACAGCUUUAUUUAUGUCAGAUGAGCCAACCUUACGGAAACAGAGCGUAUGAGGAAAUUUGCGAGAUUGGCAACUGUAUUUUCAGGAGGAUGAGGAGGUAAAAAACUGCGGUACCCUCGCUACGACCUUCAGUCAACCCUUUGAAAAUAGAGACUUUCGGACAACCUUACUCCUGCAAGACCUUUUUGGAUAAGGGUUUUCGAGAUUAUUGAAUCCGAGCAGCAUUUUGAAUUUAAAAUUCUGGAUAUUAUACUCGGAAAGGGCAAAAUCAAAAAACCUCGUAAGUCAAAUUUUACGAAGAUCAACAAAAAGAGUUCGGAAAAUAAUAGGGGGUGACACAUAAAUGUGAACCGUCAUCAAGGGGUUAAUAACAGGCUUAAUGAAAAGUCAGAAAUGGUAUUAUCAGCAGCCUGGUUAGGAACGUGAUAACGUUAUCAAGAAAUAUGAUUGGGAAAGUUAUCAUUGAUAUUUUUUUUUUCAAAUAUGUAAAAAUUAGUAUACAAUGAUUAAUAUAUCCGCUUUCACACUUGUAAAUACCCAACUUUAUACAGUUUAUAAUACAAAAGUUCUGGUUCUGCUGAAACCACUGAUAAGCAAUACCAACGCUUAUUGUGAUGAGGCUGACACUAUUAUUAUAUUACCUAUCUAAGAAACGUAUCGAUGAUGGUUUCCUUUUGUUCAUGUUCCUUCCAGCCGAAAAAGCGUCAACGUUUUGUACAAAUGACAUUCAUAUACAUGAGACGGCUUCAUCGUUAUUUGUUGCGUAUGCGGCCUUAUCUUAUUUUUGUUGUUUCAUAUGCUGAUAUGGUACUUUUGCUAAAAAGUUUUGUUGUGGGAUAUUUUUUGGAAAAUACACAAUCACACAAAUGUCCACUUACGGGAUAUGA